UCAAGAUGAGCUCUUUAGAUGACGAGUCUGAAAUGCUGCGAACGAGUUUCUCCGACGCAGCAGUCCUUGAUGAUUUCUACAAAUUAUUACCAUUCAUGCAUUUCUGAAC
This 109-nucleotide small nucleolar RNA is filed under the name Trametes cinnabarina. The record is from RNAcentral. Lineage: Eukaryota; Fungi; Basidiomycota; Agaricomycetes; Polyporales; Polyporaceae.